RNAcentral lists this ribosomal RNA (254 nucleotides) under uncultured bacterium. RNAcentral describes it as "partial 16S ribosomal RNA". It matches the Rfam family "Bacterial small subunit ribosomal RNA", at positions 524 to 776 of the family's 1533-position model. The record is from RNAcentral.
UACGUAGGGUCCGAGCGUUGUCCGGAUUUAUUGGGCGUAAAGAGCUCGUAGGCGGCUCAGUAAGUCGGAUGUGAAAACUCGGGGCUCAACCCUGAGACGCCAUCCGAUACUGCUGUGGCUUGAGUCUGGUAGGGGAGCACGGAAUUCCUGGUGUAGCGGUGAAAUGCGCAGAUAUCAGGAGGAACACCGGUGGCGAAGGCGGGUCUCUGGGCAGUAACUGACGCUGAGGAGCGAAAGCGUGGGGAGCGAACAGG